UCGGGAAUUUUGCGCAAUGGACGAAAGUCUGACGCAGCAACGCCGCGUGAGGGAUGACGGCCUUCGGGUUGUAAACCUCUUUUGUCAGGGAAGAUGAUGACGGUACCUGACGAAUAAGUCACGGCUAACUACGUGCCAGCAGCCGCGGUAAUACGUAGGUGACAAGCGUUGUCCGGAUUUACUGGGCGUAAAGAGCGCGCAGGCGGUCGUUCAAGUCGAGUGUGAAAGCCCCCGGCUCAACUGGGGAGGGUCAUUCGAUACUGAUCGACUCGAAGGCAGGAGAGGGUAGUGGAAUUCCCGGUGUAGUGGUGAAAUGCGUAGAUAUCGGGAGGAACACCAGUGGCGAAGGCGACUACCUGGCCUGUUCUUGACGCUGAGGCGCGAAAGCUAGGGGAGCAAACGGG
RNAcentral lists this ribosomal RNA (404 nucleotides) under uncultured Acidobacteriota bacterium. RNAcentral describes it as "bacterial SSU rRNA". It matches the Rfam family "Bacterial small subunit ribosomal RNA", at positions 355 to 776 of the family's 1533-position model. The record is from RNAcentral. Lineage: Bacteria; Pseudomonadati; Acidobacteriota.